This 560-nucleotide ribosomal RNA is filed under the name uncultured archaeon. RNAcentral describes it as "bacterial SSU rRNA". It matches the Rfam family "Archaeal small subunit ribosomal RNA", at positions 333 to 897 of the family's 1478-position model. The record is from RNAcentral.
CAGCAGGCGCGAAAACUUUACAAUGCUGGCAACAGCGAUAAGGGGAUCUCGAGUGCCAGGAUACAAUCUUGGCUGUCGCGAUGCCUAAAAAGCAUUGCAUAGCAAGGGCCGGGCAAGACCGGUGCCAGCCGCCGCGGUAACACCGGCGGCUCGAGUGGUAACCGCUAUUAUUGGGUCUAAAGGGUCUGUAGCCGGCCGGAUAAGUCUUUUGGGAAAUCCAGCUGCUCAACAGUUGGGCUUUCAGAAGAUACUGUUCGGCUCGAGACCGGGAGAGGUGAGAGGUACUUCAGGGGUAGGGGUGAAAUCUUGUAAUCCUUGAAGGACCACCAGUGGCGAAGGCGUCUCACCAGAACGGAUCUGACGGCAAGGGACGGAAGCUAGGGGCACGAACCGGAUUAGAUACCCGGGUAGUCCUAGCCGUAAACGAUACUCGCUAGGUGUCAGCCACGGUGCGACCGUGGUUGGUGCCGUAGGGAAGCCGUGAAGCGAGCCACCUGGGAAGUACGGCCGCAAGGCUGAAACUUAAAGGAAUUGGCGGGGGAGCACAAGGGCGAAUCGCG